RNAcentral lists this long non-coding RNA (257 nucleotides) under Vombatus ursinus (common wombat). RNAcentral describes it as "lncRNA (ENSVURG00010017129.1)". The record is from RNAcentral. Lineage: Eukaryota; Metazoa; Chordata; Mammalia; Diprotodontia; Vombatidae.
CUUAAUUGGUACCCUACAGGCCUUAGAGAAGGAGAAUAGGCAGUUGAUGAAUAGGAUGACAACAAUGGAACACCAAAAAGUCAUCUCUGAAAACCAUGAGACAAAAGUUAAACAGCUGCAAAAAAAAAUAAACUCUCUUGCUGAUGCCCGUUCAGAGAAUGACAAACUACGCAAGUUGAAUAAAGCCCUGGAGACAAAAUAUGCUCAGGCAAACUCAGAACUCACUGAAAAUAAGAUAAACCUACAAAACACAGAAG